Raphanus sativus (radish) is the source of this 1929-nucleotide long non-coding RNA. RefSeq lists it as uncharacterized. Lineage: Eukaryota; Viridiplantae; Streptophyta; Magnoliopsida; Brassicales; Brassicaceae. The record is from RefSeq and is a predicted model, not a curated record. The transcript has 10 exons.
UCCAAAAAUUGAAUCAUAACUCAUAUCCAGCCCAUCUUUCAAAACCUUCUCUCCUAAUAAUCCGUCAAUCAGACUUUUAUUCGUCUUCACCGUCUCAGUUUUCCAGUCCUGCACUCACCGUUACUGCAAAUCCUCUCCUCAUCAAUCAAUGUUGCCUUUAAUCCUGGUUUUGUUCAUCUCCCAUUAAUCCUCCUCCUAUAUAAGUAACUUCAUCUAAACAUUAAAAUCAAGCCAAAAUCGAAAACCUCCACUAACACAGCUACAGUUACGACUAUGAAAUUCACCAGAAAGAAUCCCUCUCCACCGGAAAUUCUCCUCUUGCCGACGGUCGCUUCAGAGGGUACUAAUCUCAAGAAGAAGGUCUUCCAUCCUAAUGAGCAUGUAGCACCUUCCUUAGGAGAUCGAUGUUGAGAUGGAGGCCAAAUAAAAGAGUCAUUGAAAGAUGAAACUAAAGACUCAGCUUGCUUCGCGCGAGAAUUUAUAUGGCAAAUCUCCAAAAGCUCUUGCUGAAAUCGAAAGGGGUGAACUCCUGAGACUUCAUCUAUAAAUAGCGGUCCUUGCUGUGAUGAUGAGUACGACUCAAACGAUUUCCGGAAGCUUUCUUUUUCUAAGCGUUUUCUUUCAUAGCUACCGAUUUAAAUGGCGUCUUCUUACAUUCUCCUUGCGGAUCUGAGAGCCGGCACCAGUUUGAGUCAAUCUAUCAAAACUUCACACUGUUGGAGGCACCAGUUUGUAUUAGGUUCACCGAUCAAACAAGUUUACUUUAGAUAGCCAUAUUCCAACGCGGAUGCUCCGUUUCCGUAAUUAUGACAGCUGAUGCCACUGGCUAACACCAAUACAUAAUUACCAGGGAAACAACUGUACGUCUGAAUCUUUUUUGACGUCCUGGCCAACCUCAUCAAUAACAAAGUAGCUGCUGCUGGUGCCAAAGGUCAUUCUCGCCACAAAUAUCAAUCCCAAAUAGGUUGGAAGUUGCCUUUUCCUCAAUGGUACCUUUGGGACACACUUUUACUUCUACAACGACUGUGUCGCUAGCCACGUCUAUCUAUUCUAGGGUGUCUGUUUGUUAACCACGGCAUGUGCUCCAGUUUUUGUUCUACCCCGCUAAUCAAUUUUUUUUGUGCAGAAAAUGUGACAGUUAUGUGACAUCUUCUACAACUCCCACAAAAUAUGGAGGCAUUCAGAAGCUACAGUCUGGCACCGCCUAAGCUUUAAUGCAUAUGUCUUGCAUUCUGAGCCACAUGUGCAGAUACUAGACUCACUCAACUUUUAUGCAGUUUACGUUCUGUGAUUUUAGACCCCCACAGUCAGUCGAGUUAUUUUACACCAAUAUCUGAUACUCUUAUCACUGCACAUCACAGGUCGAGCUACUCCAUUACUGGAAACAAAACACAAGUUUGGAGAUGAAACUCUGGAAUGUGUUUACGCAGAUGAAACCGGCGCAAAGAUUCAUGCUUCCUCCAAAGUAAUAUCUCCGUUAUAGAAUGGAGAUUCGUCAAAAAAAUUUAAGGUUACUGGAAAUUCUGGCAAAUAUCGCCCAAUUGACCUCAAAUACAAGGUCGUUUUGACAGCUGACACAGUGAUAACUCCAUCUAGGUUAUCGGACGUCAAUCUCUCGAAGCUAUUUGAAAAUUGAAUUCCCAUGUCUCUAAACGGAGAAAUACAAACAGCCCAAGUUCAGCAAAAGGACAGAGAAUUCAUUUCGGUUCACAUGAUACAGCGGGUCAAGUUGUUUCAUGUUGCUUGUGGGGAAAGUAAGCAGCACAAGUUUCAUCUCAAUUUGAAGAUACAAAUGAUGAAACGAUAAUCUCUGAUAUUUUUUGCAAAAAUCAGCUUCUACGGAGGUAUAAAAACAUGUAAAUAAAAAUUCAUAUUGAAAAAAUCUUAUGUUGAGAAAACAGUACAUUAAAUUUACAAAGGAUGUGAACA